Molecule: ribosomal RNA, 253 nt
Filed under: uncultured bacterium
Lineage: Bacteria
Description: partial 16S ribosomal RNA
Rfam family: Bacterial small subunit ribosomal RNA
Source: RNAcentral
UACGAAGGGGGCUAGCGUUGCUCGGAAUUACUGGGCGUAAAGGGCGCGUAGGCGGACGUUUAAGUCAGAGGUGAAAGCCCGGGGCUCAACCCUGGAAUGGCCUUUGAUACUGGACGUCUUGAGACCGGAAGAGGUCAGCGGAACUGCGAGUGUAGAGGUGAAAUUCGUAGAUAUUCGGAAGAACACCAGUGGCGAAGGCGGCUGACUGGUCCGGUUCUGACGCUGAGGCGCGAAAGCGUGGGGAGCAAACAGG